AAUAGAUACCCUGGUAGUCCACGCCGUAAACGAUAAUCACUGGACGUCAGCUGAGCGUAGCUCAGUUGGUGUCGAAGCUAACGCGUUAAGUGAUUCGCCUGGGGAGUACGGUCGCAAGACUAAAACUUAAAGGAAUUGACGGGGGUCCGCACAAGCGGUGGAACAUGUGGUUUAAUUCGACAAUACGCGAGGAACCUUACCUGGGCUUGACAUGCAUUUGAUCGCCGUAGAGAUGCGGUUUUUUAAGCUUCGGUUUAGACAGAUGCACAGGUGCUGCAUGGCUGUCGUCAGCUCGUGUCGUGAGAUGUUGGGUUAAGUCCUUUAACGAGCGCAACCCCUACUGUCAGUUGCUACUCAUCUUCGGGUGAGGCACUCUGAUGGGGACUGCCUGGGGAAACCAGGAGGAAGGUGGGGACGACGUCAAGUCAUCAUGGUCCUUAUGUCCAGGGCUACACACGUGUUACAAUGGUCGGUACAAAGGGACGCCAAGCCGUAAGGUGAGCAAAUCCCAGAAAGCCGAUCUAAGUUCGGA
This 532-nucleotide ribosomal RNA is filed under the name uncultured bacterium. RNAcentral describes it as "bacterial SSU rRNA". It matches the Rfam family "Bacterial small subunit ribosomal RNA", at positions 777 to 1297 of the family's 1533-position model. The record is from RNAcentral.